Molecule: long non-coding RNA, 1597 nt
Filed under: Equus asinus (donkey)
Lineage: Eukaryota; Metazoa; Chordata; Mammalia; Perissodactyla; Equidae
Description: lncRNA (ENSEASG00005025482.1)
Source: RNAcentral
CAGGGACCUGGGAGGUGCAUCUGGCUGUGUGACCAGAAAGGAGAGGAUAGCUUGAUAUUGGAACACCAAUUUUGACAGUGGCCCGGAAUGAGAGUGCCUUUUUGGAAGCCUUGGCGUCCAGCAGAGAAAUGCCAGCACAUCUCUGGAGAACAAAACAAAACAAAACAAAAUCAGGAUUGGAUGCACUGAAGAGCUUAAGAAGAGCAAUUUAAUUUUACCCACAUCACCCCUCCCCAAGGUAGCACACCUCAGUGCAAAGAAAGACCUUCUCUGCCGGCGAUUUCACCCACCAGGGAAAGUGAGAGCAUGUGAGCGAGCUCCUGGCUUUCCCAGCUGUGCCGGAGGCUGCCAAAGAGACCCACUCCUUCCUGGCCCCGCCAGAAUACUGAGGGGUGCCGCAUGAUGGGGGAGGAGACGGACUCUGGAAGAACAGCAGCCUGGGCUCUCUGAGGGCAUCAAAGAAACGCAGAUCCUGCUGACUGCUUCUCCAGCUCCAUCAGGAAGCCUGCCCACAAGUCACUGGGGACGUCUUGCCUGCAGAUCCAUACAGAUACGGUAGAAAGGGCAACAUCUUUUACCCAAAUGGAAAAAACACUGGACUUCAGUCUGAAAACAAAGGGUUGAUUCUGACCUAAGGCAAGCCAGCGACGACACCUGUGAAAUGAGAACUAACUAUUUUCCUAUAGGAAAGGAAUUUUCCUCUUUAUUUCAACACAGCAGAGCAGAAUGCUUCUAGAUCAAUCUUCCUAAAACUUCCUCUAGUCAUGUUCUUUCAUGUACAAACACCUACAAGGGUUCCCCUCUCUCGGAAUCCGAGAUCUCCGUGCUCAGGGCCAAACCAGCCUUUCCCAGCUGACCUCCAAGACCUCCCCUGCCGCCUCUUGGGUUCCAAACUAACCUGAUAAUCUGCUUCCCGUGCUCGCUUGUUACUUUGCAUCUGUGCUCUCCCCACUCCGUCCACCUAGAGUGUUCCUUCUCUCAUAUGUGUCAGUUGAAUCCCAUCCAUCCUUCAAGGUCCAGGAUAAGUGCCUCUUUCUCUGUGAGAUUUCCUCUGAUCUAUCUGAAUCUCCCCAAUACUUGGGGACCUCCUCUUACAUCAAGUACUUUAUUGUUUAUAUAGUUUUCUCCCCAUCUCUAGAAGAAUUGAUGUUUUUCUCAAUAGUGUAUAUAUCUCCUUCAACUUUCUGUUUCCCCAUACAGCCUAGCAAGAUGGCUUUUACCUAGUAAAAAUACACUAUUUAUUACAUGUCUCAUGGACUUAAUAUGAAGUGAAUUAAAGACAUCACCGUUGUCAAUAAAAACCACCUUUGAAUGAGCACCUACUAUGUGCUAGACCCUGUCUUAAGAAAUUUUCAUGCAUUAUACCACUUAAUUGUGUCGUACAUAUUUCUAUACAAAUGAUACACUUAUCUUCAGUUUGCUUGGCUAUUUUAUAAUUACUUUAUAUUUGGCUAUUUUAUGUAUAACUCAAUAAUUCACUAAUUUGAAAUAUAGAACUUCCAAAAUUACGUAAAGUAUCAGAGGAAAUAAAAUAUAAACUUUCAUAUUUAGGCAGACUCAUGUUUAGGAAUUUCAUAUUUUUUAAUUAAAAAAACUU